Molecule: ribosomal RNA, 365 nt
Filed under: uncultured organism
Description: bacterial LSU rRNA
Rfam family: Bacterial large subunit ribosomal RNA
Source: RNAcentral
CUUUACUGCAACUUUACAGUGAUAUUUGAGGUGACAUGUGUAGAAUAGGUGGGAGACUUUGAAGCAGGACGCUAGUUCUGUGGAGUCGCAAUGUGAAAUACCACCCUUGUUACCUUUGGUAUCUAACCUGACGUGUUAUCCACGUUAGGGACCCUGUAUGGUGGGUAGUUUGACUGGGGCGGUCGCCUCCCAAAGUGUAACGGAGGUGCACAAAGGUCGGCUCAGCUUGGUCGGAAAUCAAGCAAAGAGUGUAUUGGCAAAAGCCGGCUUAACUGUAAGACAUACACGUCGAACAGAUACGAAAGUAGGUCAAAGUGAUCUGGUGGUUCCGCAUGGAAGGGCCAUCGCUCAACGGAUAAAAGGUA